GGCGCGUUGGCGAAGUGGUGUACGCGCUCGCACGGUAUGCGAAAGAGCGGGGUUCGAUUCCCCGGCGCGCCA
This is a transfer RNA of Culex pipiens (northern house mosquito), 72 nucleotides long. It matches the Rfam family "tRNA". From Rfam's summary of the family: Transfer RNA (tRNA) molecules are approximately 80 nucleotides in length. Their secondary structure includes four short double-helical elements and three loops (D, anti-codon, and T loops). Further hydrogen bonds mediate the characteristic L-shaped molecular structure. tRNAs have two regions of fundamental functional importance: the anti-codon, which is responsible for specific mRNA codon recognition, and the 3' end, to which the tRNAs corresponding amino acid is attached (by aminoacyl-tRNA synthetases). tRNAs cope with the degeneracy of the genetic code in two manners: having more than one tRNA (with a specific anti-codon) for a particular amino acid; and 'wobble' base-pairing, i.e. permitting non-standard base-pairing at the 3rd anti-codon position. Lineage: Eukaryota; Metazoa; Arthropoda; Insecta; Diptera; Culicidae. The record is from Rfam.